GAGCGCGCCUUGGCACGGGGUGCCGGUCCCAACGUUAGUUCCUUGCUUAGUGGUCCGAAGACAGAACAGAGCACACAACAUAUACAGGAAAUAAAACGUAUGAUACGACACAGUAAAUGGAUUAGAAAACCAACAUUAGAGCCACAGCUUAACUGGUUCAUAACUUACAUCAACCACGGAGUAGUUAAUCCAUCAGAAGCAUCAUCUCACGGCACUGACCAUACAUCGUUAGCAACCAAGAGCUAAACAAACACCACACAAAAUAGAAGGCCAAUGCUGAUCAUAGUACCAACAGCGGUUGGUCUUUCACAAGCACCACAUUAGAGUUUUCUUGGGUCGGUGUAACGGAACAUCGCAUCGCAAGCAAUACGGCACGACAAAAGGGACGAUAGACCUAGGAAGAAGCUACACCAUCUAACACACGUCGAGACGUCCAUUCGCUAGACCAUCAAUGCGAGAGCACAUCUAACCAACACAUCGUGGUCCUGCAAUAACACAAGUUCAAGUAAGAGCCAAAUCGUGUACAACAUAGGAGGCGACUGAUGAUAUAAAAGGUACCUAGCUGACACACCAAAAUAAUGAUCCACCUAGGGCCGUUUGGACUACAGCUUGGCCCUUUUAGUCGCGGACGUCUCGUCUUCAUCCGCCGCCAGGCUUUCAGUUGAUUUGCUUCAAGAACAAAUAACAAUUAUGUACAAGAGGUAGAAAAAUGAUGCAUAUAUUGUUAAACACUCGUAUCAACCCACACCCAGAUACCUCAAUGUAGCAGCAAGCUCACCACCGAGACCAGCAGAGCGUCAUCCGGUUUUUCGAGCCCCUAGCAGGCAUAAACGAAUAUUCCUUGUCAACUGACCAUCAAACAACCAUGUGAAUAGGUUUGGAUGUAUUUUCACCAAGCAAACGAAAGGAAAUACCUAAGCACGGCCAUCAGAAAACAAGGGUUUACACAACACAGACUUAGGUAGACCACUUGCUGGCACUCUCUUUAUACCGACA
This 996-nucleotide long non-coding RNA is filed under the name Triticum aestivum (bread wheat). RNAcentral's name for it is "long non-coding RNA (TAES_LNC014025)". Lineage: Eukaryota; Viridiplantae; Streptophyta; Magnoliopsida; Poales; Poaceae. The record is from RNAcentral.